RNAcentral lists this ribosomal RNA (595 nucleotides) under uncultured bacterium. RNAcentral describes it as "bacterial SSU rRNA". It matches the Rfam family "Bacterial small subunit ribosomal RNA", at positions 1 to 604 of the family's 1533-position model. The record is from RNAcentral.
UAGAGUUUGAUCCUGGCUCAGGACGAACGCUGGCGGCGUGCCUAACACAUGCAAGUCGAGCGGGGAACUAACGAUGAAGUUUUCGGAUGGAUUCGUUAGUUUCUAGCGGCGGACGGGUGAGUAACGCGUGAGCAACCUGCCUAUCACUGGGGAAUAACGCAUCGAAAGGUGUGCUAAUACCGCAUGAGACCACAUUGGGACAUCCCGAAGGGGUCAAAGAUUUUAUCGGUGAUAGAUGGGCUCGCGUCUGAUUAGCUGGUUGGUGAGGUAACGGCCCACCAAGGCGACGAUCAGUAGCCGACCUGAGAGGGUGAUCGGCCACAUUGGAACUGAGAAACGGUCCAAACUCCUACGGGAGGCAGCAGUGGGGAAUAUUGGGCAAUGGGCGCAAGCCUGACCCAGCAACGCCGCGUGAAGGAAGAAGGUCUUCGGAUCGUAAACUUCUAUCCUUGGUGAAGAUAAUGACGGUAGCCGAGAAGGAAGCCCCGGCUAACUACGUGCCAGCAGUCGCGGUAAUACGUAGGGGGCAAGCGUUGUCCGGAAUGAUUGGGCGUAAAGGCGCGUAGCGGCCCGUUAAGUCUGGAGUGAAAGUCCU